This 28-nucleotide non-coding RNA is filed under the name Mus musculus (house mouse). Lineage: Eukaryota; Metazoa; Chordata; Mammalia; Rodentia; Muridae. The record is from RNAcentral.
UCAGAAUCCCCAUCGUUAGGGCCACGAG